RNAcentral lists this ribosomal RNA (849 nucleotides) under Nigrospora hainanensis. Its description in RNAcentral is "eukaryotic LSU rRNA". It matches the Rfam family "Eukaryotic large subunit ribosomal RNA", at positions 68 to 944 of the family's 3401-position model. The record is from RNAcentral. Lineage: Eukaryota; Fungi; Ascomycota; Sordariomycetes; Amphisphaeriales; Apiosporaceae.
ACAGGGAUUCCCCUAGUAACGGCGAGUGAAGCGGGAACAGCUCAAAUUUGAAAUCUGGCCCUUGGGUCCGAGUUGUAAUUUGUAGAGGAUGCUUUUGGUGCGGUGCCUUCCGAGUUCCCUGGAACGGGACGCCUUAGAGGGUGAGAGCCCCGUACGGUUGGACGCCUAGCCUCUGUAAAGCUCCUUCGACGAGUCGAGUAGUUUGGGAAUGCUGCUCUAAAUGGGAGGUAUAUUUCUUCUAAAGCUAAAUACUGGCCAGAGACCGAUAGCGCACAAGUAGAGUGAUCGAAAGAUGAAAAGCACUUUGAAAAGAGGGUUAAAUAGCACGUGAAAUUGUUGAAAGGGAAGCGUUUAUCACCAGACUUUUUCUGGGGGGAUCAUCCGGUGUUCUCACCGGUGCACUUCCCCCAGUUGAGGCCAGCAUCGGUUUUCGGAGGGGGAUAAAAGCUUCGGGAAUGUGACUCCCUCGGGAGUGUUAUAGCCCGUUGCAUAAUACCCUUCUGGGGACCGAGGUUCGCGCAUCUGCAAGGAUGCUGGCAUAAUGGUGAUCAACGACCCGUCUUGAAACACGGACCAAGGAGUCGAACAUUUAUGCGAGUGUUUGGGUGUCAAACCCUCACGCGUAAUGAAAGUGAACGGAGGUGAGAGCCCUUACGGGUGCAUCAUCGACCGAUCCUGAUGUCUUCGGAUGGAUUUGAGUAAGAGCAUAACUGUUCGGACCCGAAAGAUGGUGAACUAUGCGUGGAUAGGGUGAAGCCAGGAGAAAUCCUGGUGGAGGCUCGCAGCGGUUCUGACGUGCAAAUCGAUCGUCAAAUCUGCGCAUGGGGGCGAAAGACUAAUCGAACCAUC